GGGGAAUUUUGGACAAUGGGGGCAACCCUGAUCCAGCCAUGCCGCGUGAGUGAAGAAGGCCUUCGGGUUGUAAAGCUCUUCCGGCCGGGAAGAAACGGUGCAGGCAAUUCCCCUGAAUGGUUAACGGUACCGGAUUAAGAGCAACCGGCUAACACCGUGCCAGCAGCCGCGGUAAUACGUAGGGUGCGAGCGUUAAUCGGAAUUACUGGGCCGUAAAGCGUGCGCAGGCGGUUUUGUAAGACAGGCGUGAAAUCCCCGGGCUCAACCUGGGAACUGCGCUUGUGACUGCAAGACUAGAGUACGGCAGAGGGGGGUGGAAUUCCACGUGUAGCAGUGAAAUGCGUAGAGAUGUGGAGGAACACCAAUGGCGAAGGCAGCCCCCUGGGUCGAUACUGACGCUCAUGCACGAAAGCGUGGGGAGCAAACA
This 427-nucleotide ribosomal RNA is filed under the name uncultured Rhodocyclaceae bacterium. RNAcentral describes it as "bacterial SSU rRNA". It matches the Rfam family "Bacterial small subunit ribosomal RNA", at positions 356 to 774 of the family's 1533-position model. Lineage: Bacteria; Pseudomonadati; Pseudomonadota; Betaproteobacteria; Rhodocyclales; Rhodocyclaceae. The record is from RNAcentral.